Molecule: long non-coding RNA, 285 nt
Filed under: Bos indicus x Bos taurus (hybrid cattle)
Lineage: Eukaryota; Metazoa; Chordata; Mammalia; Artiodactyla; Bovidae
Description: lncRNA (ENSBIXG00000012432.1)
Source: RNAcentral
CUGUGUUCAGGUGCAGUGGUAAACGUGCCGUGAGGGGCAGGCGCUCGGGGCCUGAUCAUGACCUGAUAAUCCAAUAACAGACUCAAAGUCAGAGAAUAUGGAAAAUCAGCUUGGCAGUACAAGGUCAAAAGUAGUAGCAGUGAAAAAAAACAACUGAUCCCAAGUUGCCAACGUGGGAAUCAGAGUUCCAAGGACAGCCUUCAAGACUGCCAAAGGGAACACUAAACUCGACUCACAGUUUCAGCCCACCCAGGGUUCAGAGCUGAACCAGGGGACAGAGAGCUC